This 476-nucleotide ribosomal RNA is filed under the name uncultured Bacillus sp. RNAcentral's name for it is "bacterial SSU rRNA". It matches the Rfam family "Bacterial small subunit ribosomal RNA", at positions 69 to 526 of the family's 1533-position model. The record is from RNAcentral. Lineage: Bacteria; Bacillati; Bacillota; Bacilli; Caryophanales; Bacillaceae.
GGAUUGAGAGCUUGCUCUCAAGAAGUUAAGCGGCGGACGGGUGAGUAACACGUGGGUAACCUGCCCAUAAGACUGGGAUAACUCCGGGAAACCGGGGCUAAUACCGGAUAACAUUUUGAACUGCAUGGUUCGAAAUUGAAAGGCGGCUUUCGGCUGUCACUCAUGGAUGGACCCGCGUCGCAUUAGCUAGUUGGUGAGGUAACGGCUCACCAAGGCAACGGUGCGUAGCCGACCUGAGAGGGUGAUCGGCCACACUGGGACUGAGACACGGCCCAGACUCCUACGGGAGGCAGCAGUAGGGAAUCUUCCGCAAUGGACGAAAGUCUGACGGAGCAACGCCGCGUGAGUGAUGAAGGCUUUCGGGUCGUAAAACUCUGUUGUUAGGGAAGAACAAGUGCUAGUUGAAUAAGCUGGCACCUUGACGGUACCUAACCAGAAAGCCACGGCUAACUACGCGCCAGCAGCCGCGGUAAUAC